This 721-nucleotide ribosomal RNA is filed under the name Lactococcus lactis. RNAcentral's name for it is "bacterial SSU rRNA". It matches the Rfam family "Bacterial small subunit ribosomal RNA", at positions 46 to 752 of the family's 1533-position model. The record is from RNAcentral. Lineage: Bacteria; Bacillati; Bacillota; Bacilli; Lactobacillales; Streptococcaceae.
GCCUAUAAUGCAAGUUGAGCGAUGAAGAUUGGUGCUUGCACCAAUUUGAAGAGCAGCGAACGGGUGAGUAACGCGUGGGGAAUCUGCCUUUGAGCGGGGGACAACAUUUGGAAACGAAUGCUAAUACCGCAUAACAACUUUAAACAUAAGUUUUAAGUUUGAAAGAUGCAAUUGCAUCACUCAAAGAUGAUCCCGCGUUGUAUUAGCUAGUUGGUGAGGUAAAGGCUCACCAAGGCGAUGAUACAUAGCCGACCUGAGAGGGUGAUCGGCCACAUUGGGACUGAGACACGGCCCAAACUCCUACGGGAGGCAGCAGUAGGGAAUCUUCGGCAAUGGACGAAAGUCUGACCGAGCAACGCCGCGUGAGUGAAGAAGGUUUUCGGAUCGUAAAACUCUGUUGGUAGAGAAGAACGUUGGUGAGAGUGGAAAGCUCAUCAAGUGACGGUAACUACCCAGAAAGGGACGGCUAACUACGUGCCAGCAGCCGCGGUAAUACGUAGGUCCCGAGCGUUGUCCGGAUUUAUUGGGCGUAAAGCGAGCGCAGGUGGUUUAUUAAGUCUGGUGUAAAAGGCAGUGGCUCAACCAUUGUAUGCAUUGGAAACUGGUGGACUUGAGUGCAGGAGAGGAGAGUGGAAUUCCCUGUGUAGCGGUGAAAUGCGUAGAUAUAUGGAGGAACACCGGUGGCGAAAGCGGCUCUCUGGCCUGUCNCUGACACUGAGGC